UUGACCUCGGAUCAGGUAGGAAUACCCGCUGAACUUAAGCAUAUCAAUAAGCGGAGGAAAAGAAACCAACAGGGAUUGCCUCAGUAACGGCGAGUGAAGCGGCAACAGCUCAAAUUUGAAAUCUGGCCCCCAGGCCCGAGUUGUAAUUUGUAGAGGAUGCUUCUGGCGACGCGACUUCCGAGUUCCCUGGAACGGGACGCCAAAGAGGGUGAGAGCCCCGUCCGGUCGUUCGCCUAGCCUCUGUGAAGCUCCUUCGACGAGUCGAGUAGUUUGGGAAUGCUGCUCUAAAUGGGAGGUAUACGUCUUCUAAAGCUAAAUACCGGCCAGAGACCGAUAGCGCACAAGUAGAGUGAUCGAAAGAUGAAAAGCACUUUGAAAAGAGGGUUAAAUAGUACGUGAAAUUGCUGAAAGGGAAGCGCUUAUGACCAGACUUGGGCCAGGUGAAUCAUCCGGCGUUCUCGCCGGUGCACUUUGCCUGCCCAGGCCAGCAUCAGUUCGCUUCGGGGGAUAAAGGCUUCGGGAAUGUGGCUCCUCCGGGAGUGUUAUAGACCGUUGCGUAAUACCCUGGGGCGGACUGAGGUACGCGUUCUG
This 591-nucleotide ribosomal RNA is filed under the name Geosmithia pallida. Its description in RNAcentral is "eukaryotic LSU rRNA". It matches the Rfam family "Eukaryotic large subunit ribosomal RNA", at positions 1 to 602 of the family's 3401-position model. The record is from RNAcentral. Lineage: Eukaryota; Fungi; Ascomycota; Sordariomycetes; Hypocreales; Bionectriaceae.